Molecule: ribosomal RNA, 253 nt
Filed under: uncultured bacterium
Lineage: Bacteria
Description: partial 16S ribosomal RNA
Rfam family: Bacterial small subunit ribosomal RNA
Source: RNAcentral
GACGUAGGGGGCCAGCGUUGUUCGGAAUUACUGGGUGUAAAGGGUUCGUAGGCGGUGUAGCAAGUCGGGAGUGAAAUCUCUGGGCUUAACCCAGAGGCUGCUUCCGAAACUGCUGUGCUUGAGUGUGGGAGAGGCGCGUGGAAUUGCAGGUGUAGCGGUGAAAUGCGUAGAUAUCUGCAGGAACACCCGUGGCGAAAGCGGCGCGCUGGACCACUACUGACGCUGAGGAACGAAAGCCAGGGUAGCAAACGGG